RNAcentral lists this ribosomal RNA (253 nucleotides) under uncultured bacterium. RNAcentral's name for it is "partial 16S ribosomal RNA". It matches the Rfam family "Bacterial small subunit ribosomal RNA", at positions 524 to 776 of the family's 1533-position model. The record is from RNAcentral.
UACGUAGGGGGCUAGCGUUGUCCGGAUUUAUUGGGCGUAAAGAGCGUGUAGGCGGCCAGGUAGGUCUGCUGUGAAAACUCGAGGCUCAACCUCGAGACGUCGGCGGAAACCAUCUGGCUAGAGUCCGGAAGAGGAGACUGGAAUUCCUGGUGUAGCGGUGAAAUGCGCAGAUAUCAGGAGGAACACCGAUGGCGAAGGCAGGUCUCUGGGCAUUAACUGACGCUGAGGAGCGAAAGCAUGGGGAGCGAACAGG